UACGUAGGGUGCGAGCGUUAAUCGGAAUCAUUGGGCGUAAAGCGCGCGUAGGCGGCCCUGUAAGUCCGUUGUGAAAGUCAAAGGCUCAACCUUUGAAAGCCGAUGGAUACUGCAGGGCUAGAGUCCGGAAGAGGCGAGUGGAAUUCCUGGUGUAGCGGUGGAAUGCGCAGAUAUCAGGAGGAACACCAAUAGCGAAGGCAGCUCGCUGGGACGGUACUGACGCUAAGGCGCGAAAGCGUGGGGAGCGAACAGG
Molecule: ribosomal RNA, 253 nt
Filed under: uncultured bacterium
Lineage: Bacteria
Description: partial 16S ribosomal RNA
Rfam family: Bacterial small subunit ribosomal RNA
Source: RNAcentral